GACGAACGCUGGCGGCGUGCUUAACACAUGCAAGUCGAGCGGCAAGGCCCUGCUUUUGUGGUGUGCUCGAGUGGCGAACGGGUGAGUAACACGUGAGUAACCUGCCCUUGACUUUGGGAUAACUUCAGGAAACUGGGGCUAAUACCGGAUAGGAGCUCCCGCUGCAUGGUGGGGGUUGGAAAGUUGCGGCGGUUGGGGAUGGACUCGCGGCUUAUCAGCUUGUUGGUGGGGUAGUGGCUUACCAAGGCUUUGACGGGUAGCCGGCCUGAGAGGGUGACCGGCCACAUUGGGACUGCGAGACGGCGCAGACUCGUACGGGAGGCAGAAGUGGGAAAUAUUGCACAAUGGGCGGAAGCCUGAUGCAGCAACGCCGCGGGCGGGAUGACGGCCUUCUGGUUGUAAACCGCUGUCGCCUGUGACGAAGCGGGAGUGACGGUAAUGGGUAAAGAAGCACCGGCUAACUACGUG
This 468-nucleotide ribosomal RNA is filed under the name uncultured bacterium. Its description in RNAcentral is "partial 16S ribosomal RNA". It matches the Rfam family "Bacterial small subunit ribosomal RNA", at positions 28 to 507 of the family's 1533-position model. The record is from RNAcentral.